This 73-nucleotide transfer RNA is filed under the name Cordylochernes scorpioides. RNAcentral's name for it is "tRNA-Phe". It matches the Rfam family "tRNA". From Rfam's summary of the family: Transfer RNA (tRNA) molecules are approximately 80 nucleotides in length. Their secondary structure includes four short double-helical elements and three loops (D, anti-codon, and T loops). Further hydrogen bonds mediate the characteristic L-shaped molecular structure. tRNAs have two regions of fundamental functional importance: the anti-codon, which is responsible for specific mRNA codon recognition, and the 3' end, to which the tRNAs corresponding amino acid is attached (by aminoacyl-tRNA synthetases). tRNAs cope with the degeneracy of the genetic code in two manners: having more than one tRNA (with a specific anti-codon) for a particular amino acid; and 'wobble' base-pairing, i.e. permitting non-standard base-pairing at the 3rd anti-codon position. Lineage: Eukaryota; Metazoa; Arthropoda; Arachnida; Pseudoscorpiones; Chernetidae. The record is from RNAcentral.
GCCGAAAUAGCUCAGUUGGGAAAGCUUUAGACUGAAGAUCUAAAGGUCUCUGGUUCAAUCCCGGGUUUCGGCA